UACAGAGGGUGCAAGCGUUGUUCGGCAUUACUGGGCGUAAAGCGCGUGUAGGCGGCUUGAUCAGUCAGAUGUGAAAUCCCUCGGCUCAACCGAGGAACUGCAUCUGAUACUGUCAGGCUUGAGUGUCGGAGGGGAUGGCGGAAUUCCUGGUGUAGAGGUGAAAUUCGUAGAUAUCCGGAGGAACAUCCGUGGCGAAGGCGGCCAUCUGGAAGUCAACUGACGCUGAGACGCGAUAGCGUGGGUAGCAUUCAGG
RNAcentral lists this ribosomal RNA (253 nucleotides) under uncultured bacterium. RNAcentral's name for it is "partial 16S ribosomal RNA". It matches the Rfam family "Bacterial small subunit ribosomal RNA", at positions 524 to 776 of the family's 1533-position model. The record is from RNAcentral.